UACGUAGGGGGCAAGCGUUGUCCGGAUUUAUUGGGCGUAAAGGGCGUGUAGGCGGCCAGAUAGGUCCGUUGUGAAAACUCGAGGCUCAACCUCGAGACGCCGAUGGAAACCAUCUGGCUAGAGUCCGGAAGAGGAGAGUGGAAUUCCUGGUGUAGCGGUGAAAUGCGCAGAUAUCAGGAAGAACACCCGUGGCGAAGGCGGCUCUCUAGUACGGUACUGACGCUGAGACGCGAAAGCGUGGGGAGCGAACAGG
RNAcentral lists this ribosomal RNA (253 nucleotides) under uncultured bacterium. RNAcentral describes it as "partial 16S ribosomal RNA". It matches the Rfam family "Bacterial small subunit ribosomal RNA", at positions 524 to 776 of the family's 1533-position model. The record is from RNAcentral.